Molecule: long non-coding RNA, 554 nt
Organism: Tachysurus fulvidraco (yellow catfish)
Lineage: Eukaryota; Metazoa; Chordata; Actinopteri; Siluriformes; Bagridae
Exons: 2
Source: RefSeq, a predicted model, not a curated record
UUGAAUAAAAGCGUUUAAAAAUUAUUACCAAACAAACGUUUAACAACAAAUCAUUUUAUUGAAACUCUAGGCCACACCCCCUUUACUCAACAACAGGUGGUGAUGAUUCUGACUGGUCAAAUUCCAUUCUGUUAUCGUUUCUAUGGUAACCAGCCAUUAAACACCCGGCAGGACGCAUUUUAUGUAGCAUCUUAUGGAAGGAGUCUCCAGUGUCACCGGUUAGUAACGCAGUCAAAGCUAGAGCGUGGAUAGUGCAUCCGGAAUCUUUUCUGAAAAGAAAAUCCUUUCUUGAAGAAACGUGUGCUGAAUGGAACCUUCACGCUGCAUGCAACGUCUGAAGAUGUCCUCAGGAGUUCAUUGGACAGUUAACAGUCCUUAUUUUCUGAAGAGAUUUUUUUUACUUAGAACCUGUUUUGCAAGAGAAGAUCUCUGUAUUGGGUUCUACCUAAAAAGGAACCUUUUUAGACCCAUGGUUCUUAAAAAUAAAAUAAAUAUGUACUAAUGAAUGCCCAUGGAGGUUUUUUAAUCCCAAUUAAAGGUCUCCAAGAAAUUGA